This 477-nucleotide ribosomal RNA is filed under the name uncultured bacterium. Its description in RNAcentral is "bacterial SSU rRNA". It matches the Rfam family "Bacterial small subunit ribosomal RNA", at positions 15 to 507 of the family's 1533-position model. The record is from RNAcentral.
GAUCAGUGGCUCAGGACGACGCUGGCGGCGUGCUUAACACAUGCAAGUCGAACGGAAAGGCCCUGCUUGCAGGGUACUCGAGUGGCGAACGGGUGAGUAACACGUGGGUGAUCUGCCCUGCACUUCGGGAUAAGCCUGGGAAACUGGGUCUAAUACCGGAUAGGAGCCAUUUUUAGUGUGAUGGUUGGAAAGUUUUUUCGGUGUAGGAUGAGCUCGCGGCCUAUCAGCUUGUUGGUGGGGUAAUGGCCUACCAAGGCGGCGACGGGUAGCCGGCCUGAGAGGGCGGACGGCCACAUUGGGACUGAGAUACGGCCCAGACUCCUACGGGAGGCAGCAGUGGGGAAUAUUGCACAAUGGGCGCAAGCCUGAUGCAGCGACGCCGCGUGGGGAUGACGGCCUUCGGGUUGUAAACUCCUUUCGCUAGGGACGAAGCUUUUUGUGACGGUACCUAGAUAAGAAGCACCGGCUAACUACGUG